UUCACGGUGAUGGGGCUGACCGGCUGCCCUCUCCUGCCGCCGUUGCUGCUGGCGUUGAUCAUGAGGCCGAGGAGGUCCUUGGCGCACCCUUGGAGCCUCUCGUCGUCCGUGGCCUCCUGCCGCCGGCCGAUGAGCGUCACCAGGUUCUUCCUGAUCUCCUUGUCCAGUUUCCACGAGCUCGUGUUCUUCUUGGUCGGCAAGAACCUGGAUGCGGAUGAAGACCUUGCGGAAUGCCUCGGAGGCGAAGGCCAUUAGCUGCGUCUGCAGCUUGAAGACUGCCUUGCCGUCCUCGUAGCUCCGGCCAAAGGCCGUGCGCGUGAUGGCGUCCUCUGUCACGAUCUGGAACCACUCGGACACGUCGAUCUCGACCUCGCCGGACGCGGGGUCGGCCAUGGUGACCCACUUCUCCGCCAUGUCCACCACCGUCUUCCCGAUGAACGGCAGCAGCAUCUGCGGCGUCGCCAUGCACGUCAGCACCAACCACAACCCGAUCGCAUCACCGCCAUAAUGCCCAAGGAGGCAAGGGCGGCAGAGCCAAUUUGGUAAAGGAGGGGACCGAGCGACCGACCUUGAGGUUCUCCAUGUGGAAGGUGGGCGCGAGCACCCUGCGGUGGUGCGCCCACUUCUCGCCGCGCAGGCUGACGAGCCCCUCCCCCUCGAGCUGCCGCACCAUGGGGUGCGACUCGUAGCGGUCGAAGUGCUCUGCGCGCGAGAGGAGGAUCUCCCGGAUGAGGUCGGGGUCGGCCACGGCGAGCCGCGGCGUCGGGCCGAACCAUAUGAGGAACGUGGAGCCUGUGAGCAGCAGCAAAAUUAAGUGGCCGUGAGCGACAAGCAGGCAAGCAAACGAGGGGAUCAAUGAUUGACGAGGGAGGCCAUGUUCCGCCACAUCAGCAUCCACCAGACUCAGCGGGAGAAGACGCUGGCAUGGCAUGACACGACAUGGGCACAAAAAUACAGACAUAAAUACAUACAGCAAGGUUACUGGUACCGCUACGCUAAUUAAGCUGCAAAAAUGCCAAUGCGGCAUGAACGCACAAGGCACCAGGAGAAGACGCUGGCAUGGCAUGGGUACACACAUAUACGUAGAAAAAUGCAGGCAUAAAUACAUAGAUACAUACAUACAGCAAGGUGGCAAUCAGUUCCCACGACUACUAAGCUGCAAAACUAUGGCCCAAGCAAGAUGAGUUACAGUCUGAAGAACGACUAGUACUAUAAGCAAGCAGAGGAUGGAGCAGUGGCAGGUGGUGGAAGAACUGGUGAGGGACUGCGACGGGGCAGCACAGCAGUGGAUGUGGAUGUGGAUGGCGUUGCGCAAGGCCAUACGGGAGUAAAUGGGAAUGGCGACGGAUGGGCCGACGGACGGUGGCCGGCCGGCCGGGGAAGCGAGGGGGGAGCAGAAAAGGAAAUGUGUAGGCUCGCUCAUGUCCGAGGGGGCGGCAAGCAGGGAAUAGACCCGUGGCCACCUAACCGGGCUGCAGCCGGGGGACAGCGAUAACGAGAGACAACUACGGCAAACCACUCCGACAAGCCAAGGCCAGGCGCUCGACAUGCCACUUAAUGCAUGUCACUCCAAGGCGGCAUUUCGGGAACAAGACGCGCUCGCUCGACAACAGCUGCUGCAAGUUGUUGCCGCUGCCUGCCUGCCUGUCGCUCUUCUCUCUUCUCUCUGUUCUGUUUGCCACCGAUCCCAUUCUCUUGAUUUUCGUUCUGAAUUUUGUUUUCUUUCCUUGUUCUCUUCAUUCAUCAGAUUAAAAGGAGGCAAAAAGAAGAAGAAAAAGAGUUUGUCGUUGGGAGAUCAAGCAAACAAAGGAAGAAGCAGAGUGUGCCGAGGAAGACGAAGAAGCAAGCAAGGCCAUGGAAUGGUAUGGUUGAGGACGUAUGUGUUUACCGUAGAUUUUCUUCCAGUGGUGGUAGAAGGCGAGGACGCGGGGGAGGACGUUGUGGGAGCGGUAGGGUGGCGGCAUUGGCUUGGCGGAGGCGGCCACCAUGAGCGCCACCAUCUCCCGGACGCACCCGAUGAAGAAGCGGUAGGGCGGGCCCCUGAUCCCCUGCCGCGCGAAGUGCUCCUCCACGCGCCGCGGCCGCCACCACAGCACCUCCAUCAGCUUGGCCGCCACGUACGCCAGCGCCGCCGCCGCCGCCGCGAUCCACCACCAGCCCAUCAUCCGCACCAACAGCACCGCUCAAUUCUAUGCAGGCAUGCAUCAACCAGUAACACCAUUAUGUUUGGAGCUGCUAGAGAGAUCACAUCAGACGUGCUGGUUUGCAACAUUUGGUGCGUGCGUCCGUCCGCAUUGAAGCUAGCUACCUGAGGCAUCAAAACGCUGGCCUGACCGAUGAACAAGAUCUCUGGCUAUCUAGGCACUGUUUGCGUCGAGCGGUGUGCCCCCGAGAACGUGCCAAAGUUUCCUUCUGGGUGCUGUGUGCGUGAUGUGAGAAGCAAAGCUUAGCUCCUACAGUGGCUGCAGCUAGCAGCGGACGGCCGGAGGAGAGGAGCCAUGCAUGCAGGCAGUGCGCGGCGCUGUUGCUGCGAUGCGUGACGGUGGUGGUGGCCAAGGAUGGAGAUGAGAGUGAGCGAGGGAGGGAAAAGACUUGACAUGCAAUUGGAGGAGCAGGGUCAGGUCCAGGUUAUAUCUACCCAUGUCCGUUUCCCUGAUGCUUCCCCGCUGAGCCAUCACGCACCAGCUGAGCUCGGCUACACCCCGGCGGCCAGAUCGGGUAAAACGUGUGAAAUCAUGGGAUGAUGCAUAUCCAUCCAUCCACCCAUCUCCUCAUACACAUAUACACAGUGACAGUGAGGUAAGUACAUGGCUCCAAGUAGCUAGUGUGCAUACAUUUUCAUCUUGUCAUUUCGAUCCAUCUCUCUCCACGGGCGACUGUUCAAGCACUGUGUAUACGUGUGAUGGUGCUAUCUGCUAGUAUGUCUGAGACGUGAACGGGCGAUCGAUCUGCUACCAUCGCAUGAUCCAUGUGUUUUGGGAGAGGGUGCAGGGCUAGCUGAAGCCAACUGUAAUAGAUGGAUCGAUCGUCGUCAGUCAGGACCCAAUCAUUUCCAAUCUUCGGGUCUCUGCUUGCUCAAGAACCGGUCGAGUGAUUAAUCAGUGGGUGAUGAGCAUGUAUCCAUCGGAGCAACAACGCCGAUGACUGACUAGUGAAGGGAACUAUUUGGUGGUUAGGGUGCAUGCAUGGAUCCAAGCUACACCGCAGCACAACAACAACAAUAUUUAUGUGCGUGAUUCUGGGCUUUCAUCCACAGUAGACAGAACGCAACAAGACGGAACAAUGCAUGUAUCUUGAUUAUGCUGACAUGAAUACAUGUACUCCCUGUCGCUCAGACGGAUGUGUUUAACACUAA
Molecule: long non-coding RNA, 3355 nt
Organism: Triticum aestivum (bread wheat)
Lineage: Eukaryota; Viridiplantae; Streptophyta; Magnoliopsida; Poales; Poaceae
Exons: 4
Source: RefSeq, a predicted model, not a curated record